This 496-nucleotide ribosomal RNA is filed under the name uncultured bacterium. Its description in RNAcentral is "bacterial SSU rRNA". It matches the Rfam family "Bacterial small subunit ribosomal RNA", at positions 36 to 518 of the family's 1533-position model. The record is from RNAcentral.
CUGGCGGCGUGCCUAACACAUGCAAGUCGAACGGAGUUACUGAAGGCAAAGCUUCGGCAGAGCCAUUGGUAAACUUAGUGGCGGACGGGUGAGUAACGCGUGGGCAACCUGCCUCAUACUGGGGGAUAACAGUUGGAAACGACUGUUAAUACCGCAUAAGCGCACAGUGUCGCAUGACACAGUGUGAAAAACUCCGGUGGUAUGAGAUGGGCCCGCGUCAGAUUAGCCAGUUGGCGGGGUAACGGCCCACCAAAGCGACGAUCUGUAGCCGGACUGAGAGGUCGGACGGCCACAUUGGGACUGAGACACGGCCCAAACUCCUACGGGAGGCAGCAGUGGGGGAUAUUGCACAAUGGAGGAAACUCUGAUGCAGCGACGCCGCGUGAGUGAAGAAGUAUUUCGGUAUGUAAAGCUCUAUCAGCAGAGAAGAAAGACCCGCAAGGGGGAUGACGGUACCUGACUAAGAAGCCCCGGCUAACUACGUGCCAGCAGCAGC